AUUGAACGCUGGCGGCAUGCUUUACACAUGCAAGUCGAACGGCAGCGCGGGCUUCGGCCUGGCGGCGAGUGGCGAACGGGUGAGUAAUACAUCGGAACGUGCCCAGUAGUGGGGGAUAGCUCGGCGAAAGCCGGAUUAAUACCGCAUACGACCUGAGGGUGAAAGCGGGGGAUCUUCGGACCUCGCGCUAUUGGAGCGGCCGAUGGCAGAUUAGCUAGUUGGUGGGGUAAAGGCCUACCAAGGCGACGAUCUGUAGCUGGUCUGAGAGGACGACCAGCCAGACUGGGACGUAGAAACGGGGCAGACGGGUGAGGGAGUCAGCAGUGGGGAAGUUGGGAGAAUGGGGGGAAUCCUGAUUCAGAAAGGCCGAGGGCGGGAAGAAGACCUUCGGUUUGUAAACCGCGUUGGGACGGGAGGACAGCCACAGGGCUAAUACGCUAGGGGGAUGCCGGUACCGGAAGAAGAAGCACCGGCUAACUACGAG
RNAcentral lists this ribosomal RNA (484 nucleotides) under uncultured bacterium. Its description in RNAcentral is "partial 16S ribosomal RNA". It matches the Rfam family "Bacterial small subunit ribosomal RNA", at positions 29 to 507 of the family's 1533-position model. The record is from RNAcentral.